AUUGAACGCUGGCGGCAGGCCUAACACAUGCAAGUCGAACGAGUGGCGGACGGGUGAGUAAUGUCUGGGAAACUGCCUGAUGGAGGGGGAUAACUACUGGAAACGGUAGCUAAUACCGCAUACCAGCGGAUGUGCCCAGAUGGGAUUAGCUUGUAGGUGGGGUAAAGGCUCACCUAGGCGACGAACCCUAGCUGGUCUGAGAGGAUGAGCAGUCACACUGGGACUGAGACACGGUCCAGACUCCUACGGGAGGCAGCAGUGGGUAAUAUUGCACAAUGGGCGCAAGCCUGAUGCAGCCAUGCCGCUUGUAUGAAGAAGGCCUUCGGGUUGUAAAGUACUUUCAGCCGGGAGGCGUUACCCGCAGAAGAAGCACCGGCUAACUCCGUGCCAGCAGCCGCGGUAAUAC
This 406-nucleotide ribosomal RNA is filed under the name uncultured bacterium. RNAcentral's name for it is "partial 16S ribosomal RNA". It matches the Rfam family "Bacterial small subunit ribosomal RNA", at positions 30 to 526 of the family's 1533-position model. The record is from RNAcentral.